GGAGGCUUCGCCUAGUCAGGUCUAUGGCGCCGCACUGCUAAUGCGGUUUGGGUCUUAAGCCCAUCCGGGGUUCAAAUCCCCGAGCCUCCGCCA
RNAcentral lists this transfer RNA (93 nucleotides) under Microbispora rosea. RNAcentral's name for it is "tRNA-Ser". It matches the Rfam family "tRNA". From Rfam's summary of the family: Transfer RNA (tRNA) molecules are approximately 80 nucleotides in length. RNAcentral also lists the same sequence under 2 other names. Lineage: Bacteria; Bacillati; Actinomycetota; Actinomycetes; Streptosporangiales; Streptosporangiaceae. The record is from RNAcentral.